RNAcentral lists this ribosomal RNA (237 nucleotides) under uncultured bacterium. RNAcentral's name for it is "partial 16S ribosomal RNA". It matches the Rfam family "Bacterial small subunit ribosomal RNA", at positions 15 to 229 of the family's 1533-position model. The record is from RNAcentral.
GAUCCUGGCUCAGGACGAACGCUGGCGGCGUGCUUAACACAUGCAAGUCGAACGAAGAGCGAUGGAAGCUUGCUUCUAUCAAUCUUAGUGGCGAACGGGUGAGUAACGCGUAAUCAACCUGCCCUUCAGAGGGGGACAACAGUUGGAAACGACUGCUAAUACCGCAUACGAUUUAAUCUUGGCAUCGAGGAUAGAUGAAAGGUGGCCUCUACAUGUAAGCUAUCACUGAAGGAGGGG